This 81-nucleotide transfer RNA is filed under the name Dreissena polymorpha. It matches the Rfam family "tRNA". Rfam says of the family: Transfer RNA (tRNA) molecules are approximately 80 nucleotides in length. Their secondary structure includes four short double-helical elements and three loops (D, anti-codon, and T loops). The record is from Rfam by way of RNAcentral. Lineage: Eukaryota; Metazoa; Mollusca; Bivalvia; Myida; Dreissenidae.
GUCCACAUGGCCGAGUGGUCAAAGCGGAAGACUUUUACUCUUGGACUGCAGGGGUCACUGGUUCGAGCCCAGUUGAGGGUU